GCAAGGUUAACCGUAUAGGGGAGCCGAAGGGAAACCGAGUCUUAACCGGGCGUUAAGUUGCAGGGUAUAGACCCGAAACCCGGUGAUCUAGCCAUGGGCAGGUUGAAGGUUGGGUAACACUAACUGGAGGACCGAACCGACUAAUGUUGAAAAAUUAGCGGAUGACCUGUGGCUGGGGGUGAAAGGCCAAUCAAACCGGGAGAUAGCUGGUUCUCCCCGAAAGCUAUUUAGGUAGCGCCUCGUGAAUUCAUCUCCGGGGGUAGAGCACUGUUUCGGCUAGGGGGCCAUCCCGGCUUACCAACCCGAUGCAAACUGCGAAUACCGGAGAAUGUUAUCACGGGAGACACACGGCGGGUGCUAACGUCCGUCGUGAAGAGGGAAACAACCCAGACCGCCAGCUAAGGUCCCAAAGUCAUGGUUAAGUGGGAAACGAUGUGGGAAGGCCCAGACAGCCAGGAUGUUGGCUUAGAAGCAGCCAUCAUUUAAAGAAAGCGUAAUAGCUCACUGGUCGAGUCGGCCUGCGCGGAAGAUGUAACGGGGCUAAACCAU
RNAcentral lists this ribosomal RNA (549 nucleotides) under Salmonella enterica. Its description in RNAcentral is "partial 23S ribosomal RNA". It matches the Rfam family "Bacterial large subunit ribosomal RNA", at positions 640 to 1190 of the family's 2925-position model. Lineage: Bacteria; Pseudomonadati; Pseudomonadota; Gammaproteobacteria; Enterobacterales; Enterobacteriaceae. The record is from RNAcentral.